CGUUAACGCCGAGCGUCUUAGUCAACGGGGAAGGCGAAUCUCCUUGGCUCGUGAAGGGCCAUCUGGUCUUUCUCUGCCCCGAGUCCACGGCUGAUCAUUCAGGGUGACAGGCGAAGGAGGACAUUCUGGAAAGGGGAAUCUCCCGCGUCUGGCCCGGCUCGCUCUCGGGGUCCCCGGAGAGCUGCUCGCCCCCCGCCCCGAAUGGGAAGGAGCCCCAUUUGGGCAGCGCCGUACGGACGUUGGAGGAUCUCUUCUGAGCCUCCCGAGGGAUGGGGGGGAGCCGGUGAAGGGUGCCGGGGCAACUCCCUCCACGCCGUCGAGAUCGAGGCCCGGUCCGCCCGUCCCCAAGGCCGUGACGGGGUAGCUGUCAGCCCACGGGUACCGGCGACGGCGUCCGGCGGACGUAGCCGCCGUUUUCCUUGCCCAGACCUGGCCGGAGCGACUCCGUACGCCUGGCCUGUGAUGGGGGCUCAUCCGAGUUCGCUCUCUGGCCCGUCCCGGGCAACCGCGGCGGCCGGGAGAGAGGAAGCGAGCUGGCCCUCCGUCUCCCGCCUCGAUCCAGCACCCCGAGACUCCCCUGCCCCUCCUGCUGUGAGGUCGGUUCCCCGACCCACCCAGCGCAGAGAGCCACCCUGGAAGCAGAUCCAAGUCGAAGCGGCCGCAGCCCGAGAGGGGCUGCCUCCCCUGCGGGCUGGAGACGCGGACCGGUACGAUCGCGGGAGGGGAGGUCGACCUCCCGUUCCUUCUCCCAGGCUGCUUCCGACCGGGGCUCUCCCGGUGGACGCCGGCCCCUCUCCGGACGCGCCGGAACCGGCUUCGGCCAACCGUGCCGCUCGCUUUGAGUUCGUUAAAACUCCCGAAGAUAUUCCGGAAGAGAAACCCCCGAAACCCCCUCCCCGGAAGGAUAUCCUAAAGAUGGGCAUUUGGGCCUGCUUGGUGGUCAUGGGAUUUCUGCUGAUCAUCGUCACAGUUUUCCAGAUACUGACUUUUUGUCAUAUUACCCAGCCGAUGAAAAAUUGCCUAAAGAGACUUCGGAGAAGCGAUAAGUCGCGUUCGGAUUGUAAACGCGAGGCGGGGGGACGGACGGACUCUAACGUGAGCUCGAGCGCGGGAGAGUUCCCCCUGGGAGAAUCCAUCCCGCCCUCCCCCGCCAGCCAGGAGAGCAACGUCUCGUCGGAAGCCCGGUAUUCUCCUAACGGCGCGGGCUCUUGUGAUGAAACCCCCGGGACGAGCCCUCCACCCCGGAGCGUUUCCGACUUCUCCCCCGGAGGCGGCGUCUGCGCGCCGGAACCCGGCGAGGACGGGGACCUGCGGGGGGAGAGCCCGGCCGAUGCAGGCGGCCGGGCGGGAGAAAGCGACUCCCCGCCGUGGAAAAUCGGGCAGGGCAAUUCGGAGUGGGAAAAUUACCAGGACUUCACCCAGGGCCGCUCUCCCUCUUUCGCCGAGGCGGCCGAGUCGGAAGAGCGGCACCGGUGAGCGUUCCGCGCCGCCUGGAAAACGUCAUCGCGCCCGGCGUCUUUCACCUCUUCCUAGAGAAAAUCCCGGAGGGCACCAUCUCGCUAUCUGACCCGAUCGUAGAUACGAUUCCGCUCCCGGCCGUCGGAUCCACCUGUCCCGGGACGCGUGGCCGCCUCUCGGAGGCCCCCCCCCCCCCCCCCGCUCCUGGCUGAAGAGAAGGGCUCUCCCCCCACCGGCGGGCCCCGGGCUCGUGUUCCUGGUCGAGGAUCUCACCUUUACCGUAAUAAAGCUAGGCCGUUUUGAAAAUUUUAAAAGAACGACCACCGGCUCUCCGUGUUUGCUUGGCCUGUUGUCGAGCUGUGUUCGGCGCUGACGCCGAUUACAGGUGGGACGUCGUCCGACGGAUGCCCAAAAGCCCUUUCCCUCCAAACUCCCCGAGUCACGUCGUCAGCUUCUCGGUGCGGGGUUUUGGGGUGUUGGUUGGUCCCCCUGCUCCCACGGACCCAUCCCUUCAGAUAUACGUGUCCUCCUCUUCACCCGGCACAGAUUUCUCCUUUUCCAAAUGCCCAGUGACGAAAAAGAGGGAAUGUUCAGUUGAGCCGUAACCCGUGUGGAAGUAGCCCCCGUUUCCGGGGGUCGCUUACCCACGCCGGGUUGAGAAGCCAUUUGGCUGAAUCGCACCGGUCACGUCCUCAAAUGGCAGCCCCCUUGAAAAAGCGCGGCCUCCGGACCGUCCGUAACUCGCGUUUUGAACUCGGCCACGGGCUGUUCGGAAGCAUCGCCGCCCCGACGCUCCUCUCUCCUGGUUCUUUUCUCGUCUCACUGGCCGUUCAUUCUCGGUCUCAUUCGUGGGCGCCGCCUCCACCUCCCACCCCCUGACUGCGGGGCCCCCUCGGUGUUGUUCUGCGUCCCCCUCUCCUCCGCAUCCGCUCCCUUGGAGGGCUCGUUCGCUCCCGUGACUUCAACUACACCCUCCCCGUCCACCGUCUUGCAUCUCCUGCCGCCUUCUCCGCUCCUCUAACGUUAACCUCGAUCGAUCUCGCCGCCGGCCCCGCGCCCUCGUCCUCCCU
Molecule: long non-coding RNA, 2528 nt
Filed under: Ornithorhynchus anatinus (platypus)
Lineage: Eukaryota; Metazoa; Chordata; Mammalia; Monotremata; Ornithorhynchidae
Description: lncRNA (ENSOANG00000038530.1)
Source: RNAcentral